AACGCGAAGAACCUUACCGACCUUUACACGCCUCUAAAGAAGCAGAAGAGCAUUAGGUGCCCGAAAGAGAAAGUGGACACAGGUGGUGCAUGGGUGUUGUCAGCUUGUGUUGUGAGAUGUUGGGUUAAGUCCCGCAACGAGCGCAACCCUUCCCUAUUAUUGCCAUCAUUCAGUUGGGCACUUUAGGGGGACUGCCGGUGACAAACCGGAGGAAGGUGGGGAUGACGUCAAGUCCUCAUGGCCCUUAUGGCCAGGGCUUCACACGUAAUACAAUGGUCGGUACAGAGGGUAGCCAACCCGCGAGGGGGAGCCAAUCUCAGAAAGCCGAUCCCAGUCCGGAUUGCAGUCUGCAACUCGACUGCAUGAAGUCGGAAUCGCUAGUAAUCGCGAAUCAGCAUUGCCCGGGUAAAUCCUUCCCGGGUCUUGUACACACCG
This 435-nucleotide ribosomal RNA is filed under the name uncultured bacterium. RNAcentral describes it as "bacterial SSU rRNA". It matches the Rfam family "Bacterial small subunit ribosomal RNA", at positions 958 to 1392 of the family's 1533-position model. The record is from RNAcentral.